AAUGGGGGAAACCCUGAUGCAGCAACGCCGCGUGAGUGAUGACGGCCUUCGGGUUGUAAAGCUCUGUCUUCAGGGACGAUAAUGACGGUACCUGAGGAGGAAGCCACGGCUAACUACGUGCCAGCAGCCGCGGUAAUACGUAGGUGGCGAGCGUUGUCCGGAUUUACUGGGCGUAAAGGGAGCGUAGGCGGACUUUUAAGUGAGAUGUGAAAUACCCGGGCUCAACUUGGGUGCUGCAUUUCAAACUGGAAGUCUAGAGUGCAGGAGAGGAGAAUGGAAUUCCUAGUGUAGCGGUGAAAUGCGUAGAGAUUAGGAAGAACACCAGUGGCGAAGGCGAUUCUCUGGACUGUAACUGACGCUGAGGCUCGAAAGCGUGGGGAGCAAA
RNAcentral lists this ribosomal RNA (385 nucleotides) under uncultured bacterium. RNAcentral describes it as "bacterial SSU rRNA". It matches the Rfam family "Bacterial small subunit ribosomal RNA", at positions 370 to 772 of the family's 1533-position model. The record is from RNAcentral.